RNAcentral lists this long non-coding RNA (5280 nucleotides) under Eutrema salsugineum. Its description in RNAcentral is "long non-coding RNA (ESAL_LNC001906)". Lineage: Eukaryota; Viridiplantae; Streptophyta; Magnoliopsida; Brassicales; Brassicaceae. The record is from RNAcentral.
ACUUUCCUAUCUUCAUCCUUCUUCGUUAUUUUAUAACAUUCAUCGUCUUCCUAAUUUGUCAUAUUUAUCUUUUUUACCUAGGUUUUCUUAGUAUUAUUCCUCUUUUUCACAUUUUCAUAUUUUGUCAGCUCUAUCUUUUAAUUUCUUUCCUCAUCUUCAAAGAAUUUGUAGUUAUAUUUUCCGAGUUUUUCUUUAUCAAAUUUAUCUUCUCUUUCCUGACCUUCUUUUUCUUUCAUUUUUUUUCAUAUUUUCCUUCAUUGUGUUAGACUUCAACUUCGUCUUCUUUAAUUUAUUUUUCUUCUUUGAAUUCUUCUUGUUCUUUCUAUUUUUCGUCAUCUUCUUUUACUAAUUUACAUUUUUUCUAUCAUUCCUACUUAUUUCAUCUAUGCCAUCAUCCUCUUCUAAUUCUUCUUCAUUUGCUUCCGUUUCUUUAUCCUUCAAUUUUCUUCUUCCUCAUAAGAUGCCUUUUUUCAUCAUCUUUGACUUCCUUUUACUAUCUUCGUAUUCCUAAACUUCUUCUCUUAUUUUUUUUCCUAUUUCUACUAUUUUUCGUUUUUUUUUCUCUUAUUUAAAUUCUUAUACUACAUCUUCACCUUCUUCUAAUUCAUUGUAUUUGUCUUAUUGGUGUUCUUAUUCUUUUGGUUUUUCUUAGUCUCCUUCCUCAUCUUUACAUUCUCUUAUUUUAUAGUUUUAUUUUUCAGUUUCUUUCUUCAUUUUUAAAGUCUUUAUCCUAAUAUUUUUCAGAUUUUAAUUAAUCUGUUCUACCAAAUAUCUACAUUGUCUUCUUAUACUUCUUUCAACUCCUCUUAUCUUCUUAUCUUUAUUACCUUUCGUUUUUCGUGUUAUCCAUAGUUUUUGUAAUUAAUCGUAUUUGUCUUCGUCUUUAAUCUUCUACUUUUUCAUAGCAGCCUUCUCAUCUUCAUUUUCUCAUACAUUAUCUUCUUAAUCUUUUGCUCUCCUUCCUCAUCUUCAACGUCUUUAUCCUCGUAUUUUUUUUUAUCAUUUUGUUCUUCUUCUUCAUACUCUUAUUUAUCUUCCUUUGCGUACAUCUAUAUACUUCUAUACGAUUGCUACAUAUUUUAAUUUUUUAGCAGUAGUCAUCUUUCUGCAUUUUAUUUUAUAUCGAAAUAACAGAGUUAAGUGGAAGAUAUUUAUAUGCAGUGAUGUAAAAUAAGUUAAAAAGAAUCAAACAUAAUAUCAUCUAUCUCUUGCAUUAAAUUACACACCAAAGUAACAAAUAGCUAAACAAAAGAUAUUUAUAUACAAUGAUGUAAAAUAACUUAAAAACAUAUACUAACUACUUUACUACCUACCAACAGCAACAUCAUCCUCAUCAUUAAUCCCUGAGACUCGUCUCCCUCUGCACCUUAUUAAAGAAAAUUAUAUAUAAUUGCUUAACUAUUCAAAUAACUAUAACUUUUUAACUGAUGCUUAACUACAGAGGAUUUCUUAAUUAGAUUUUCGUACUAAACCAACCAUAUUUUAAAGGAUAAAUCCAUGAGAUCAUAGUCUAAAGCUUUAACCCAAACAUAUUUUGAUGGAUUUGAGUCUCAUGAUUGACCAUUCUGCAGUUGAUAGAUAUGUAACAAAAAUCAUGAUCUCCAAUCAACAGUCAUCCCAAUCCAUCGCCUACUCCAAAUUAAAUUUAUCCUCCAAAUGCCAAACGCAUAUGUAAAAGUUGGACCACAUAUUUGUCUACAAUACUACGAAAAGAGGACUACUCAUAUUAACUCUAGAACAAAAAACGAAAAACUACCAUGUAGUGAAUUUGAGAGGAAAAAAUGUAUUUAUAAAAAAGAGAAGAUGAUGAGGAUUAUGGACCUUAUGGUUGUGAUCUUCAUGAUUAUAUACGGAAUAGUUUAUGAUCUGUGAAACGUACACAGUGAUCUCUGAAAAAUCACAUAGAUUUUUUUUAAAAUAAGAAACAGAGAAUUUACCAACAUGUAUUAGUUGAAUAGAAAGAGCACAUAUAAAACAAAUUAAAACUAAAAAAAGAAAAGAGUGAAAAGAACAACAGAGACGAUAACUUUUCAAAAGUUCUGCACCAGACGACCCAUUACAUACACAAUCCUCAAAACCAUGAUUGUUGUGACCUAAAAAAAUAUAGAAUGACAAAAUCAGAACUAUAAAACAACGAACAUAACAAAUACAAACAUAUAUAUACACACAAACACUAUUGAUGAGCAAGUAAUUAAGGAAACUCAGUUAAACCCUAGAAUAAAAACAAAAAACUAACACAUGAAUAUGAGACGGAAACAAAGUAUUUAUAAGAAAAGAUUUCUAGGGUUUGGUGGGGGUUUUUUUUACGAUAAUUCUGUAGGCAUGAAUAUCUUUUUAUUUUUUUUAUUAUGACACAGCUCUAGAAAUUGAUUUUCAUGAUUAUAAGAUCCUAUUUUCUUUUUUCAAAAAAAAAAAUAAUUUAGCAAUAAUUGCAAGAUAGAUCUGAUAUCAUGGUAAUAAAUCUUAUAUGUUAAGUAUCAUAAAAGCGUAUUUUUUUUUCUAUAAAAACUUGAUAAACGUAUAUUCAAUUUUAUCAUUCAAUUUCUCCAAAGAUUUAAUUAUUUUAGAUUAGAAAAACGUUUUUUGAUAAUGUAUAAAAUAGUUAAGAAGAAUCUGCUACAAAUAAAAUUAAGAUCUAGAUAACUAACCAACACAUUUAACCUUUUUUUUGUAAAACAAUUAGUAGGUUAAUAUAUUAUCCAUAAAAAAUAUGGGUUUGGGCCUUAUUCUCUGCAGAUCUAAUCAGAAUAAAAUAUAAAUAAUUAAAUAAAUCAACCAAUCAAAUUAUAACAUAAGUUGACCAAUCAGAGUCUCUUAUUCUGAUUAAUCAAAACGACACUAAAAUAUGUGCAUUGAACCACAUCAUAAUUCACUUAUAAUAUAUUUUUAAAAGAGCUAUAAAAAUCUAACAAAAUUUUGCAAAAAUUAGGUGGAUUCGGUGCGCUUGCUUGCACUCUUAGAGCAUCUUCAAGAGAUACCUUAUAACUUCAAAUAUAAUUUUUUAUAUCCUCCAAGAGAUACCUUAAAACCUCAAAUUUUGAGGUAUUGAACAGUGACACAUUAUAUUUGAGGUAUCAAUGUUCAAUACCUCAAAUUUGACGUGUCAUCUUUUUUAUUUGCAUUUCAGUCUUUUCAGUUAUAUGCUUUAAAAUUAUUCAUAAUAACUUUUGUUUUUAUCAUUUCAACUCUCCUAAUUUAAUAUCUUAUUAAUAUUUUAUUUUUAUUUUUAUAAAUAAAUUAUAUAUAUACAUAUAAAAUUUUAAAAGAUAAUUCAAAAUAAAAGUAAUAAUGACAAAUAGUAAAAUAAUACAUAACAUUAAAAAAUAAAUAUAUAACAACAAUAUUACAUAAAAGCAAAUUUUAUACAAACUAAAAUAACACAAAAUAUAAACUUACAUGAACAUAUAAAUAUUACACAAAUAAAAAUACUACAACAAAACUAAUAUUCAGGUAAAUUAGAUCCUGAACCUCCAAAAUCGCCAAAAAAUUGCCCAUACAAAUUUGGUGCAACUGAAGGUGGGGGUUGUUGUUGUUGUUGUUGUUCUUGAGUUUUUUUGGAUGAUUCUUACUUGCUCGGAUCGAAGAAACUCACGAGUAUUACUAUUAGCAAUAGAGUCUAAUUCUGUUACUAAUUUUAUAUUUUCUUCUCACAUUUCUUUUAAGACUAAUUUCUUUGCUUGAUUUUGUAUUCGCAAUUGAGCUAUCUCAUAAUCUUUAUCCCCUCUUGAUGCACUUUCUUUCAAGAAAUCAAGAAUUUCUUCAUUUGAUGAAACUAAAGUGUUGACAGAUGAAUUAUUACCUUCAGCAAUCUUCCUUUUUAGUUUUGCUUUCUUUGAUCCAAUAGGACGUUGAGAAGAAUUUGAUCCACCAUCAUUGCAACUUAAAUUGAUUGAAAAUGAAAACAUUCCAGGAGAUUGUGAUGUUGGAGAGACAGCAAUAUCGCUCCGAUUAGAGACGCAAGAUCAACGCCAGAUGCAACAGUUGAGAUGACAAUAAAUGAACAUACUCGAUUUCAACCAUUUUUAGCUCGUAAUCUGCAGAUUAAAAAUAAAAAAGCUCAUUUAUCACUUCGAAAUGCUUUAAUUGAUCAUAUAUGGGAGCAUUAUGGUAGUAGUUUUAUUGAAUAAAUUGAUAUUUUAUUUGUAAUUUAUGAUUUAGUUUGUGUAUUUAAUUAUUAUUUAUAUAUAAUGUUAUAUUAAAGUUGUAUUAUUUAAUAUUGUCUAUAAUAUUUUAAUAUGUAUUUUUAUAGUUAUUUAUCAAAGUUUUUAUGAUAUUAGUUAAUUAAUUAUAAAUAGUAAGGACUAAAGUGCAAAGUAUAAUAUUUUUAAGGUAUUAUUUUAAAGUUUAUCAUUUGAGAGCAUCACUCUCAAACCUCAAAUAUAAGGUUUCUCACACCUUAAAAAUACAGUAUCUCUUGGAGAUGCUCUUAGGCACUAGGCGAAUGCUAGCACAAUGGCAAAUCUCAAAAGCACAAUAUAUAUAUAUAUAUAUAUAUAUAUUUCUGUUUUUGACAGAUAAAUUUGCUUUCAUUCAUUGCUUCCUAAAAUUUUUUUUUUUUUUUUCAUUCAUUCGGUCUUCCACAACUUUCACUUAUGCAAUCAAACCGAAUUAAAACAAAUAUAUAUACUGACACAACUGAAUGCUAAAAAAAAAUGAAGCAUGCUUCUCUACACUUCAUUCCCAUAAAAAUCAAUGUUAACAGGUAAAUACAUAUUGACUCUUCAAAGAAAAAUUAUAUGAUAGUUUUACGAUUGGAGUGAUAGACUAGGAAAAAUCAAGACAAAAGCUCACCGAAACAGUAAAAUGAUACUAUGCUUGGUCACUAUAAUCCUUCAAAUGUGAGGUCUAAUAUGGCUCUUUUUAUGAGAAAAAGAAAUUGUUUAGUGUUGCCUAUGGUCAAUCGCAAGCCCUAUCAAGGAUCUACGUUUCAUAUUGUUCAAGAAGGUUGCACUGUGCGUUGAGAAAUUGAUAAUGUGGCUUACACAUGGUUUUAUCAUGCUAUGCCCAAAUAGCAUUUUCCUUCACACCAAACCGGUCUAGAAUGAAUAGUUUUCUGAAAUGAAAUUAAAACACACAGCAAUCUGAUACUAGUUAACCACCUAAAUGUCCAUCACGGACAUCCAACGCCUCAUGUCUCAUCUUGAAGAAGUAGCAAUUCGGUUCCAAGCAAGAGAUAGAAAUGGUGUGGCUGAUAGAGUAGCAAAGGAAGCUCUUUCCUUAGUGGAUUAUGCUCCUAAGUUGUAUUCUAUUGUGCCAAAUUGGGUAUUACCACAUGUUCAG